Molecule: long non-coding RNA, 2313 nt
Organism: Felis catus (domestic cat)
Lineage: Eukaryota; Metazoa; Chordata; Mammalia; Carnivora; Felidae
Exons: 2
Source: RefSeq, a predicted model, not a curated record
CCCCAUGCGGGGCUUGAACCCAUGAAUUGCGAGAUCGUGCCCUGCGCCGAAGUCAGACGCUCAACCCACUGAGCCACCCGGGCGCCCCCACUGAGGGCAUUUUGAAUGCACAUCAACAUUGCUCCUGUCUGAGUACCUCCCGGGGGGGGGGGAAGGGGGGCGACUUCUGAAGCAUCCCCUAAAGCCGGCCUGAAGCCUAGAGAGGCAAGGGUGCCGAGCCUGGGCCAAGGGGGAGCCCUGACCUCCCCUAGAAGGAAUUCCUGUGUUUGUGCAAUCGCUUGCUGAGUUCCUCCUCCUGCUCCAGGAGGGCAGGACCCGGGUCUUCGCGAGGAGUCCCCUCAAACCGUCCAGCACCCGGUAGCGGCCGGACAGUAGCUGUUGAAAUAGACAAGCGUGAUGGACGAGUCAGCGAGUGCAUGCAUUCUGGCAACCCUAGGCCUCCCGCCCUGUGGCCCCCUUGGGGUGUGCGCCCUCACUCCCCAGCUGGCUGGGGGGAGGCUGCUGUGUGUGGACCAGCUGAGUCAGGCCCUCACCCUGGGCCACGGGCCACCGUGGCUGUCGCUGAUCUUGCUGACGGGGCUGAAACUGCGUCGCACCUCCCUCUGCAGCCCGCCAUUACUCAUGGUUGGCGUUUAUCCCCAAGCAAGGGAUGACCCCGCGGAGCAGCCCGGAGCCUCCCACGUGUUCUGAGGCAGGGGUGGCCGGAGGCUGGACUCCGAGGAGGCACAGCAGGACUUGUGAGCAGCUGCUCUGAGUGCCGUGACCAUAUUUUUCUGAGCUGAGAAAUGAGGACACAGGAUGUAGUGGAGGGUUUUCUCAGAUUUGUCUCAUCAGAGGUAUGCAAGUUAAAGCUUAUUUAGCUAUGUAGAUAAGGGAGUGUCUUUGCUGAAAAGAACCCGGGUUUCCCAAAUCAGGGAGAUUCGGGAAAUUCAUAAGUCAAUUUGACUAAUCUUUUGGGGGCACCUGGGUCAAGCCUGUCCUUGGUGUUUGCACUGCAGCAAGGAGCAAAAACAGGCAUGAUCCUGGCCUCGUGGAACUCGUGUGGGGUGGCCGAGAGUCUGCAAAUGCUCGCACGGUUCAGUACCGUGAGCAUAUGUGAGAAUUGCUAUGGGGGGGGGGGGCGGCAAGGGUUCCCGAGUGGAGGAGCUUGGGGUGUCCUGGAAGGCUUCUCUGAAGAAUUAAUGUUUGAGGGGAAACAGAGCCUCUUAAGGUGAACUGUUGAAGGGAUGGGAGUGGAGUGGGGUGGGGAAAGUGCAUUUCAGGCAGGAAGGAGGGCAUGUGCAAAGGGCCUGUGGCAGAAAGGAGUGCUGGGAGUCUGAGGGACAGGAGGGCAGCCCAGUGACCGGGAUGUGACGAGUGAUGGGAAGAGGAAGUUGGAGGUGUCGGCAGGGGCCAGACCGGGCCGCGCCCACCAGUCCACGAGCGUGGGGUACGUUCUCCUGCUGGUCGCGGGCAGCCAUGGACGGUUUGACACAGUGAUCAUCGGAGACAGGAAAAUCGAAAGCACAUGAGAUACCGCUCCACAGAAAGUAACAAGUGCUGGUGAGGAUGUGGAGAAAUUGGAACCUUGGGCACCAUUUGUGGGGACGUAAAAUGGUGCAGCCCCUGUGGAAGAACAGGAUGGCGUUUCUUCAAAAAAUUAAAAAUAGAAUUACCAUAUGAUCCAGCAUUUCCACGUCUGGGCAUAUACCCAAAAGAAUCGCAAGCAGGGUCUCAAACAGAUACAUGUACACCCAUGUUCCCUGCGGUGUUAUUCACAAUAGCCCAAAGGCAGAAACGACACAAGUGUAUCCAUCGACGCAGCACGUGGGCUAUGCGUACAAUGGAAUAUCAUUCAGCCUUAAAAAGGAAGGCAGUUUGGACACAGGCUUCGCCGUGGAUGAGCCUGGAGGACAUGGUGCGAAGGGAAAUAAACCGGGCACCAAAGGACGAAUACUGUAUGAUUCCACUCACACCGGGGACUUGGAAGGGGCAAAUUCGUAGAGACACAAAGGAGAAUGGUGGGUGCCAAUGGCAGAGGGGAGGGGAAGUGGGGAGUCUGUGUUUAACGGGUACGGGGUUUAGCAAGAUAACAAGAGUUCUGGGGAUGGAUGGUGGUGAUGGGGGCACACGGCGCUGGACGGACUUAAUACUCCCAGGCUGCACACUUGAAAAUGGCCAAGAUCGAAAAUUAAGCCAAACAAAACAAAACAAAACACAAAAACAGCCCCGCCCCCCUGUUAUUCUAAGUUCUCUCAAGUUGUCAAUGGCGGGCUUUCUUUUUAGCUACGUUUAUAAGAAAUAAACUAGGGGUGCCUGGGUGGCUCAGUCGGU